GCUAUCUUGUAAGUUUGCAAGGGAAGUAAAACCUCAAGGUCGGGACAGUUCUGAACAUCUGUAAGAUCAUAUAAUUUACUUGUAAUUUAUAAAUUAUUUGCAGGACCUAUAAAGUGAAGAUUUUUCUUUAAGUGAAGCCAGGACCACUCAGGGCACAUUUUCCCUUGUGCAUCUGGUCCCCCCCACCCCUAGCUGUUCGAGAUACAAGAAAUAGAUGACACAGAGAAAUCGGCACAAUCCAUUUUUUAAACAAUGACCUAUUUUUGAAAAGAUAAUAACAAAGCCACAUGAGGCAGAAUUUUCUAAUCAUCCAAAAUUACUUGGUUCUAAAUAUUCUUACCACCUCGUCUCAGUAAUGUAUACAUCAAGAAUCAAAACGGUCCAGGAAGCAUCUGGACCAAAUAAUAAAACUUUGGUCUAUCCAUUCUGGCACAAAACAGAAACUAAAGAAGUGAGCCAGAAACUUCCACAUUUUGCUUCUGAGACAUAUGCGUCUUCUAUCCAUCGUAUGUUUGUUUGCUACCCGGAGCAAGAAGAGAACAGUGCCUGACACUCCGACCACAAAGUCUAAAGGACUGAGCAUCUCUCUUACCCCGUGGACCAGGAUCAGAUCUCACUCUGGGUUCUGGGCAGUGCCGAAGAUUUACUUGCUGUUUAUCAGGCUCCAGGUGGCAAGCCCGCGGCAAGGGGGUGCACACACGGGAAAACCAGACACCUGGGAAAAACCAGCGUCUUGUGAGCACCGGCUCUGUACCAGACACCG
Molecule: long non-coding RNA, 763 nt
Organism: Ailuropoda melanoleuca (giant panda)
Lineage: Eukaryota; Metazoa; Chordata; Mammalia; Carnivora; Ursidae
Exons: 3
Source: RefSeq, a predicted model, not a curated record